This 368-nucleotide ribosomal RNA is filed under the name uncultured bacterium. RNAcentral's name for it is "bacterial SSU rRNA". It matches the Rfam family "Bacterial small subunit ribosomal RNA", at positions 143 to 507 of the family's 1533-position model. The record is from RNAcentral.
AUAACGUAGCGAAAGCUACGCUUAAUACCGCAUACGAUCUACGGAUGAAAGCGGGGAUCGCAAGACCUCGCGCGAUUGGAGCGGCCGAUAUCAGAUUAGGUAGUUGGUGAGGUAAAGGCUCACCAAGCCGACGAUCUGUAGCUGGUCUGAGAGGGCGACCAGCCACACUGGGACUGAGACACGGCCCAGACUCCUACGGGAGGCAGCAGGUGGGAAUUUUGGACAAUGGGCGCAAGCCUGAUCCAGCAAUGCCGCGUGCAGGAUGAAGGCCUUCGGGUUGUAAACUGCUUUGUACGGAACGAAACGGUGAGCUCUAAUACAGUUUGCUAAUGACGGUACCGUAAGAAUAAGCACCGGCUAACUACGUG